Long non-coding RNA from Astatotilapia calliptera (eastern happy), 1911 nucleotides. Lineage: Eukaryota; Metazoa; Chordata; Actinopteri; Cichliformes; Cichlidae. The record is from Ensembl.
UUUAGCAGAACAACUUCUUCAUUUAGAAAUAAGGAGUUUCUGAUAUGACAGUGAAAUUCAAGGAUUCGAGUGAUAAAGUCUCAACAUGAAAGUCCGUCACAUUGUUAUCUGCUUCAUCUUCCUCACACUGCAGGAUGGAAACACUGUUCCUUACAAUGCAAAGAUUGCCAUGCACACAGGAGUGGAAGGAGGAAACAUCACAGUUAAAUGUUCAUUUUAUAUCUUUGGAAAGUGGAAGCUCUUAUGUAAGGACCAAUGUGAAAGGGGAAACAUUCUCAUUGAAACAGCCGACCUUGUAGCUCAAAGAGGCAGAUACUUUAUUAAAUACAAAGAAGAAGAGUUUCCAACACGUCAUGCAGUUUUUUAUGUCAGCAUCACACAGCUGGAAAAAUCUGACUCGGGGCUGUACCGGUGCUAUUUGGACAGAGACUUGGAUCCAUAUUUGUUUGAUAGCUUUCAGCUCACGGUGACAGAAGGUUUGAAGAAACAGAAAAUUAUGAAUUAUGAAAAGAGCGAGAUUGUUCUCUAUGACAAUCUUCUGACGUUGCCACCUGAAGAGUCAGUAUACCAGAGCCUGGAUCCAGCCAGCAGGGAUGAAGACCAAGUGUACCUUACACUUAAACAGACAUGAAAGCACAAAUAAUCCAGCAUUCAGGCCUGAAUUUAUGUGUCACAACAGACACAGAUUGAUACAACAGACAACAUCUUUAAACACUUCUUUAUUCUUCACUUUACUAAAAGAUAACGAUUUUACAGAUUGAGCAUUAUGAUCAUUAUAAUAUUUUGGUUUAAAAUAAUUUCUCUUCUCAUUCUGGUGCAAAAUUAGAGCUCAUCUUAUAUUCAAAGGCACCACCUGGGGGUGCUGUAGGAGUAGUGACAAAUAUCAGGAUUAAAUAACAGCUCAUCAAACUGAUCUGUAAAGUUGCAAAGCAAUAAUAAACAUUUGUAUAUUGGUAUGUCUUCUUUCCAAACAGGUUUUCCAAACUCUGAGAACAUCUGAGAACCAGAGGGGAAAACAAACCCUCCUACCCUAAAAACCACGAAGCACUCUGAGAGUGCAAACAUCCACCAAAGUUUUAUUAGAAUUCACACAAACCUUUUUGAGUUAUUGUGUUUACACACAGAAAGAAUGACACACAUGCAUGUUAAAACUACCAGAAACAUAACCUACUUGGAGAUGGUUACAACAGAAAAAGAAAAAAUAAUUGCAAUUUCAUUUAUUUAUUUGGGGGGAUUUUUUUUUUUUGUCAUCCACCCAUUUUCUUCCGGUCCAACCUGGCCACCAAGAUCUCUCCCUUGGCCCCCCCCUCUUCCAGGCCUGUCUCCUGGGCAGGGCCCUGGUAACCCUAUCCCAGGCAGGGUGAACUGUUCCCUUGAGCUUACACUGAUAAGUGCCUUUGUCGGGUCCUUCACCCAGACCAAUUUGCCAUGGGAGACCCUACCAGGGAACAAAAGCUAACUGUCAGCACACACCCUGGAACCUGUGGGAGACACAAACCCCGAUUCAUGGAGGGGGGAUUUUUAGUUAUGUUUAUUUAUUUAUUUUUGAUCUGUGAUAAUGGGUCGAAAAGAGAAGUAUAAAAUUGCCCCAAAAUCUGGUCUGACUUUUUAAUAAAGUAAAUAUGUCUGAUGUUGCUGUGGAAUGACUCCCAGCAGAAGACAAAACUUCAUAAAAAGAUUUAGGCAGAAUCAUGACUUGACAUCUGUUUUUGAAGCACCGCUAUAUUCUGUAUCAUGUGCUAACACAGGAUCCAUGACAAAAACUGUAUUUAAACAUUAUUUUCUUUUUCUUUAUGUUUAACUUCUUCUUUAGUUAAUUGGUUGUUGUUAAUGGUUUUAAGCUCUUGUAAGUCUUUCAUUACUACUAAAAAAAAUGAUUUUACUGAGUAAAAGAUCCGAAUUUACACCAAA